This 497-nucleotide ribosomal RNA is filed under the name uncultured bacterium. RNAcentral's name for it is "partial 16S ribosomal RNA". It matches the Rfam family "Bacterial small subunit ribosomal RNA", at positions 28 to 507 of the family's 1533-position model. The record is from RNAcentral.
GAUGAACGCUGGCGGCGUGCCUAAUACAUGCAAGUCGAGCGAACAGACGAGGAGCUUGCUCCUCUGACGUUAGCGGCGGACGGGUGAGUAACACGUGGAUAACCUACCUAUAAGACUGGGAUAACUUCGGGAAACCGGAGCUAAUACCGGAUAAUAUAUUGAACCGCAUGGUUCAAUAGUGAAAGACGGUUUUGCUGUCACUUAUAGAUGGAUCCGCGCCGCAUUAGCUAGUUGGUAAGGUAACGGAUUACCAAGGCAACGAUGCGUAGCCGACCUGAGAGGGUGAUCGGCCACACUGGAACUGAGACACGGUCCAGACUCCUACGGGAGGCAGCAGUAGGGAAUCUUCCGCAAUGGACGAAAGCCUGACGGAGCAACGCCGCGUGAGUGAUGAAGGUCUUCGGAUCGUAAAACUCUGUUAUUAGGGAAGAACAAAUGUGUAAGUAACUAUGCACGUCUUGACGGUACCUAAUCAGAAAGCCACGGCUAACUACGUG